CUUGUUCCACCUCCGUGGAACACAAAAUUGAAACAUUUUAGGACAAAAAUGCCCCUCAUCUUUUUCAAUAUUUACCAUCCAAAUCAUAAAACAAACCCCAACCAUUCUCUGCCGCUACCUCUCUUCCCGUAGCCUUCCUCCUCAUCCUCAUCCUCUUCCGUAGCCGCCGACUACACCUAGCUCGCACGGAGCCACUACUGUCGCUAGAUCGUCUCAGCGAGACCCCCCGAAUACCAGCGGACUAGUAAGACCGUCAUCUCUCACGUCAUCCUGCUCUGCUCCAUAAGCUUGCCGGACCAUUCCACGACCAACGCUGCGUCCUCAUAAGUCUCUCAGGGCUUCCUCUUCCCCUUCCUCUUCUUCAUUUUCUUUGAUUUUGUUUUGAGAUUCGUGAAAUUAUUAGUGGGUUUUGAAUGAUUUCUGGUUGUGAUCGAUUUCUGGGUUUAAUCGAUUAUGGGUUUUGAUUUACUUUUGGGAUUUUUGCAUUCUGAUUUAUUUCUAGGUUUUGAUUGAUUUAUGGGUUUUAAUUUGAUCCACAAAUCAGUCAUAUUGUUUUAGGAGAAUGUUUGAUCUUGCAGAGAAUAAUCGUCUUCCUCUGAGAAAAUUGUUCUGUGCAUGUCAUUCGAGAGGCCCUGUUGUUAUUCCUAACAUCGACCUUGUCGAUUAUGCCUAUCAAUUCGAAAAUAGAAAAUAUGUGCUCUUGCAGAUUGCAACAUUUUGGUUAUCAUUUUCACUUCCAGAUGCUACCCUCACCAGUGUAAAGUAAUCUCAUUCUAUGAUAGGUGGUCUAUACCAUUCAUCAAGUUUUGGCGACUUGAAACUUUUCACUCGAGCUUCCAGCGCAUGUAAAUGGCCAUGCCUGUUUUGCAAAUGUGAUUUAAACUGAUUAAGUUGUCGUUUAGGAGGGACAGUUUAUCCCCGCCACUGUGAAGGAAGGAGACAGUGUUCUGCAGCCAAAAUAUGAAGGAACUGAAGUGAAGCUUUGUGACAAAAAGUACGUAUCUCACAAGGCCUUAUUGCUAGUUUUCUUAGAUGUGCAAUAUUUUAAGCUGCUUUUAAUUAUGUAUAAACUUCUGAAAGAUUUCUGUCAUGAUUCUAAUAGUUUUUGGGGCCUAUUUACUAAACCAUUGCUGACCUGAAUUCAAUCGAGAGAUACAAUGGAAGCUGAAACUCACUUACUUAAGCACUGGGACUUUUGUUUUAUAAAUUGACUUCACAUCACGUAGAUAAAAUAUUCAUAUGGAAGAACUGUGUAGAAAACUAGAUCUUAGAUUUUGUGCUGAUGAUCUCCCUUCCAUACGUGAUUCAGUGACUUGAAGUAUUACUGAAUAAUACGGCUGAGAUGCUUUCCAUUUCAUGAUUUUGCGCAUAUAUGUUUUAUGAAUUUUUCCAUGAUAUAUGGAUACAAUACGUAGUGAAAUGUUACCUGUUUCUCUUACACGAAUGACUGUCCAUGGGGUUUGUAUGUAUGUGUCUUAUUUGUAUCGCUCUCUAUAAACAGGUGUGCUUUUGUCCAUUGUAUGUGUCUUAGUACUAGGAUUACAAUUUGGCGAAUUGACUCAAGUAGGCAUCUUUGCAGUAAAGCAGAGGUGUGCUUUAGUUAGCAUGUGUAUUUGGAUUUCUGUAUGUGACACUGAACAACAUUUGAGAAUGCAUACUAUGUUAUGUAUGUUACAAGAACUUGUGAAACUAGUCAGGAUUGAGAAAUAGAUGCAGUUUUGAGAACAUUUACUUUUGUAUUAUUUCUUUCGACAUUCACUUCCUUUGUCCGAUUAGGUGCUCAUUAUUUUAUUUUAUUUUAGUUUUUUGUUUUUUUUUUGCUGUUUUAGGUAGCAUCUAUAUCGAGAUGAGGAUAUACUGGGAACACUGCACGACUGAUGUAUUGUUUGACCUAUGAUCGUGUUAAUUUUGUUCAUGAUUUAUCCUAGUGGAUUUAAGUUCCAUAGCAUGAAGUCGAUCUUUGUCAAUGCCCUACUAUUUAAAUUUGUUAUGUGCUUAUAUAUUAGAUGAAGGAGAACGUGUAAAACUGUUCUGCUAUUGGGCAAAUAAUUUGAAUGCAACUAAGACGUCUUUAAUA
This is a long non-coding RNA of Pyrus x bretschneideri (Chinese white pear), 2077 nucleotides long. RefSeq lists it as uncharacterized. The record is from RefSeq and is a predicted model, not a curated record. The transcript has 2 exons. NCBI's taxonomy places the organism in Eukaryota, Viridiplantae, Streptophyta, Magnoliopsida, Rosales, Rosaceae.